GUCUUGUUAUGAGGAGCCAACCAAAUGUACAUGUCAUUGACUGGAAGAGUGUGUACUCAGACCCUUUUCACAGGUGGCACCUGCGUCUGUAUUACAAUAUUUGUGUUCAAUGCUGCAGAGAGGAAGAGGAAGGAUUCUGACUCAAACAAACUGUGAGUAAAAAAGUGUCAACCAGCUACUCAGGCUGUAGAUAUACAUGAAAUGAUGACACAUAAAUGUCAUAGUCUGUAUGAAGCAGGGACGUCGCCUCAUUAACGUCACUCAGUGGUUCUUGUGUUGGAGUUUUGGCCUUAUUGACAGCAGAUGCCAUGUUGGAAAAGCAGACUUAACCUUAUUUUUGUCAAACUAACUCCGCUUCUGUUCAUGUUUCUCAUUGCCAUUUGAAGAUUUGACGCCUAGAGCGUAUUAGAAAGAAAACUGUUUAUGCUCACUAAACUCUGAUUUCUUCGUGGAAUCAGGCCUCUAUUGAUCAGAACUACGGAAGCAAUCUUUGACAAGGCGACAAAACUCAACAUAACACCUGUUGGCAAUCAGGAUACUGUGCUACAUUAACUGCUCAUUAACUUGAACAGAGCCGAGCUACCUUAGGGUCCACUUUCUCCUUCCAAAACCUGGUUUAUGAUUUCUUUAGACUCAUAUUCAGACCUUAAGUCAUCCAGCAAACAAUAGCAGGAUUCAAUUAAAUGCAGCUCAACGCAGUAGGGAGGGGAUUUCUGUUUUUUAGAUGCGACUUAUUGCACUUUUCAAAACAAGAUUCUGGCAUUCAGUUUUUUUUCUGUGGCAUGAGGAGGUGUAAGUAACAAAGAUGUUUCCAGCCAAGACGAUUAAACGCAGUGAGGGAUUUUUUUUAUUACACCGUUUACAACCAGGAGGAAUAUCUUUCUUUACUGUUGUGUUGAUGUCAAAUCUGUUGAGUUUAAAUAAGUUACCAGAUAACCAGACAACCAUACUCUCUUUCCUCUAGUUGAGAUCUUUUUCUAGUCCUGUCUCGGUUUUACAGAGAAGUUGUAUCGUACAGCUAAGAUUAGGGCUGUCCCGAUACAACUUUUUACUUCGGAUACGAUACCGAUAUUGUAGCCUUCAGUAUUGCUUUUGCACUCAGCUGCAACGUCUUUUUUGAACUUCAACGAAAAAUACUGCCAUACAACAUCACUCCAACUCCUUGUUACUUUGUUAGUACCUUAGUACACACUGUUGGUGGGGAUUACGUGGGCUUUGCAUGCUAGAGUGCUGCUAGAUAGGAGUGCAGGAACAGAGUCUGUAACGGACUGCCUGUGUCGGAUGACAGCCUUGUGGUAGUAUUUUUUGUUUAAGUCUGAAAAAGACAUUGCAGCAAAGUGCUAAACUUGAAAUGCACAAUUUAUGCCAAUAUCGGACAAUAUCGGUAUCGGUCAAUAUUUAAGGCUACGAUAUCGGUAUCAUAUUGGAAGUCAAAAAGUUGUAGCGGGACACCCCUAGUUGAGAUAUUCUUAACUCUUGCGAAUAAUCGUUGGAAGCAAGUAGAGCAUCGGACACAAAUUCACAUCAUGACCUGCUCAAGUCAUGUGAAUAGGCCUCUCAAUUGGUGUCAUUUGCACAUUUGGAAAUUAGUGUCAUUUGCGUCUAAUCGUGUCUUUGCAUUGACUUUACACGUAAAAUUACUCACGCUAUUGACUUUACUCACGUUCGGCGUGAACGCGACAUAAAAACAAACAUAAAACUGACCAACGGUAACGCUGACUAAAACCAGACUAAUAUGUAGCUGCUGACAUCCAGUUGGCGUCAGGCAAAAUUCCAACUUCUGAUAUCUACAUGAUUGUGUUAUAAGCAGUUAUGAAAGCAGUGACUCAACAUUAGUUAGUAAUGUGACUGCCUGAUGCACUAUAAGCCCAUCCAACAACACCUCCACAGUGAUUUUUGCCUCAUCACACACACAGCUAAAAAGUUCUUGCCUCAGACUCAAAUUGUGAGUUGUGAAAUGGCUCAAUACGUAGCUACAUUAUUCCCAGCAAUACCGGCUAAAAAAGGACACCACUGAAGAAGAGCAUGGGAAUUACAAGGUUGCCAAAUUGAAGGAUUUUGUUGUUGUUACGCAACUGACUGGAUUACACUAAAUAGACAACGCUGGGGAGAUGCAGCUCCCCAUUUAAGCCCCCGAAAGAGUUGUCUCAGCAUCCCAGCCAGAGUUUCUCAUUAUUUGUCAAAUAUAAUAGACCAUAAUAUUUAGACACAGCUGCAUUUCCUGUUUUGUACCCAGCUCGAUAAUUCCUUAAACUUCUUUGUGUACAUCUGUGUGUGUUUGUGAGUCUGUGUGUGCGGCUUUGCUUCUGUCAGUGCCUGAAUUAUGCCGCUCUUUCAAAAGCUUUUUGCUGACAGUUUGCAGUUUACAUCAGGCUGAAUGUAAAAAAGGUAUGCUGCAGAGUAUCCUUGAACCUCUUUGCUGUGAACUGCUCAGUGUUAUCCUGUGAGUACCAUUCGCUGCAGCGCCUCCAUUACACAGCCUGGACCUGCACCUGGCCACCAUCAAUGAAGUGCUUCUGAUGAAACCAGCUACAUCAGCACAGAGGAAGGAUCGUCUCAGUACACUUUCUUUAUUUUUAUGCCGUGAUUUUCAUUAAUAAAUAACCCCGACUGCAGAGAUGACUCCCUGAAAUGGGGUCGUCUCGGUAGCUGAGACCACAGCAUGACCCUCUGAGUCCUGCGUGUUGGAUGGAGGCAGCCUUAGUACACACUGGAGCUCUGGAGAAAGAAAAUGCGCAGGGGUCAAAAUGCUGAAACCGCUUUUUGCUGAAAAUUGACUUUAACUUCUGUUUUCAGAUGAUAGGAAUAUGAAAACUUUGAAUUGCAUGAAGUUACAGAAAGUAAAGACGGUCAAAGGUCGAAGAAAACCAGGGCACCCUGCGGACCAUUGCUAAUGAAAAUAUGUUCAAGUGGAGAAAAACAUGUGGUGCAUACAGCAUACCACAGAGCAGCCUCUUCAAGGAUAAAUAUGCAUGCGGCGCCAAAUUAUCAUGAGGAGUUAGUUUAGCUUUUAUGGGACACCAAUUUACACCUUCACACGCUCGAUAUGAAAGUCCAAUGGGGUGAUAAUGGCGGCGCUACAUUACGGGGCGAACUGCCGAGCCGAGACCAGCAGGGUCAAGUGAAGCAUGUGUGUGCCAUCAUCUGGUUUGUUUGUGCUCACCAAUUACUGUUAUGUUCAGAAGUGUUUCCAAUGUUUUUGGAUUAUAUUCAUACUAUCAUACAAACAUGAAUUCUUGUUUUAAAAUUUAAAGAGAAAAUCUGAGACCUUUUUCAUUAAAACAACUUUAACCUGCAAACUUUAAACCCAAGACAAAAACUUUUUAAAGUCUUGGUCAAGGUUGUGAGGGCUAAGAAACUGGAAAUUGUCUAGGUUUUUUUUUUAGAGUAAAUUGUGUUCAAGGUAACUUGAGGCGUGCAAAAUUCAUGCCUGGAUAAUACCUUUAACUUUGACUAAAACUAGACUCCUCUUCUGGUCAUUGGAAUUUCAUUUCAGUGAGCACCAAAAAUAAAAAAAACGAUUUAUUUAAUUUUUGAACAUUUUUGGUGUUAUUCUUUUUCAUGGUCAAAACCACAUCUGCCAAAUUUCAAAAUCAAUUUGAUUUCCAUUUUCUAUUUAGUUUAUCAAAAUAUAAAACCAUUCAGACACAGAGACACAGAAUUGGCCUGUUUUUCAUUUUCUGACUCUGUAUGGGGUCAAUGUCAGCGAUGCUUCCCCGAGCCUUCCUUCCUUCCUUCCUCCUCUGGUGCCGGCGCUCUGCUGCUUGCAGCUGGCGCCUUUAUUUUGUUUACAAGUCCUUCACUUUUCACAGUUACAGAAAAUUAUAACUUACAAAUUCAGGUUUCUCUGUCACCACGAUGACUGCUGUGCUAAACACACAGGGUUUCUCCAAGUUUUUCCUUUGUACGUUGCUGUUUUUCAUUUUCUCUUUUUGCAUUCAUGCCCCCUGAUCUAGUCAGUCAUGUAAGACUUCCCUUCCGUCUAAUUAUCUCCACAGCAAGCUGUCCACAGUGGCAAAGAGCUCUGCACCAGCCUGAUCAUAUUACACACAGUAGCCUAAGUACUGGCGCUCUGAGGCUUCUGGGUAAGAAGACAGUUCGAUCUCUGUAGCCGGGGAUCCAAACCGAGGUUUAGGAUUAGGGGGCCAGGAUGCUGCAGCCAUGGGGGAGCUGCAGGGUGGGCGGGAGCAUGUGAGAGCACGCUUAUCGCAAAGCAGGGACUCUGGUGUCAAGGUCCCAUCAUCACCAGCAGCAGAGCAUGAAUGAAUAUGAGGCAACGUUCAUGAAUAUUCUAUUGAGUUUUAUCUUCCUCUUCCGACUUUCUUUUUUCUCUCGUCUUUCCUCCUUUUUACGGCACUCUCCGAUUUGCUCUCUGCUACGCUAAUCUGCUACUUGCUCUUCCUCGCUUUAUCAGUCCCUGUCUUUCUCUCUCACUGUGCUGUGUCUUAGGACAUCAGGUCCUUUACCAGGAGGGGUAACAAGCGUUUCGAGAUUAUAUUAAAAUCAAGCAUUUUAUACAGACUUCAGGAGACACGCACAAGGCUUCAAAGUGACAAUGACUUUACCACAGAGCUCUCUCUCUCUUUCUCUCUCUGUAUUUGCAAAAGCAGCUGUCGGGCUGCUCCUUUUUUCUCUCUUCCAGAGGCGCUGGCUAUCCUCUGAGUAAAUCUUGGCGUCUAACUUUAUUUGAGAUAACCACAAGGAUGGAAACCAAUUGUGCUUUUUUCACAGUAAUUAUGCAGUUUGUUUCAUAAUAUUGUUUUUCUCUUUCUUUCUCACGGCUUGAAGCGCUGCCCCGCACCUUUCGCCCUCCCCCUCCUCCUCUUCUCUGCAGUCUUGGUUAGAUAAGCACACAGACAGUGGUAGAUAUUAAAAAACAGAUGUUACUAUAUAUCAGGCUGUGGUCUGAGUCAGCUUAGCUCAGCCAGAUUUAUGCUAUUCUCCUGAAAUGACUCUCCGUGCCAGCAGGAAAAAAAACAAUCACAAAACUUGUUGUGUAUUUAGACGCUGAUGCCAGCUUUGUUUUUGGUUCUUUAGUUUUCGUCUGCUCGGCUCAAAAAAAAAAAAGUGUUAACAUGUGAGUCAUGGCGAUGCUUUGUCCAAUUCUAGUUGGCACAAGGGUCCGACCAAUGGUGCCAUGGUCUGUCGGCCAUAAAAUGAGCAGAAGGGCACGGCUUUGAAUGUCUCUUCUACAGGACCCCUGGGCACGGCUACAACAAUCAGUUGCUUGAAAUGGAAGUGCAAUUGUAGGCGAAAAGGGCAACAGCACUCUGGCAGGCGCACAGAACGAGACGGCGGCCCCUCCGGACCACUCUCUGCCUGAUCGCUCCUGGAGUUGGCAGGAUCCUCACAAAGGUCAUUGUUUGGGAAGAAAAGGGGGAGAAAGGUUUUUUUUCUUGGUUUGCUUUUUUUUCCACAGGAAUGUAAUUGAUUUAAUCUUUUCAAAGUGACGAUUUGAAUGAUUGAGGAAAUUAAAAAAGACAGCCGAAAGAAUAAGUUUAGCUGAUGUUUUAUGAAGAAACAAGCACAAGAACAGCAAACCUUGGCAUAUUUAUGCAGGCAAAAUUAUUUUUUGUCAAAACCAUGGCCCUGAGCUUUAAUCCUUAAUUACAAAUGAGUGUAAUUUCCCUCACUGUCGUUUUAUUGGAUGUAAUAAACAGGAUUUGGCGCAUGAUUUGGUAGGAGGCUUAUCGUACAGCACAUAGAAAAAAAGACAGAGUCUAGUGUGUCAGCAAGUCCUGGAUUUAAAUCCACAGACCAAAUAUUUUUUAAAGAUUUUGUGGAUCUUGCAGGACAAACAACCGCAAAACUACAAAUACAAUCUUUUGAAAUUAUUUUUCCUCCCUGCACCUGACGUGCAGAGCUCCCUCUGCUAAGUCAGUUUUUAAUGAAUUGUAAACACUGCUUCUUCAAAGUAACCCCCACACCCCAGCCCCACACAACACGAGUGUGUUUGAGAGAAAAGGAAAGACUCGCAGGGCGCAGCUCAGCCAGAUUUACAUGAUUAACGGUAUCAAUAUGCAGCUGAACUGUACAGUCGACUCGCAGCCCAACAACAAAGAGUAGUAUUUGUGCUUCUCCAUGUUAUCAUGGUAGAAGUGGGAAGUCACAUCAAAGAGGUUUUCCUGUUUUCGCCACAAUUCCAACAGUUUCUGCCCGUUCUUUCACCCUGUUUGUUUGCAGCAUCCUGUUCAGUGCUGGAAAGGGUGCACCAUGUCAUUGACUAACACCAUUUACAUAAGAGAGGACUAGAGACCUGCAGUGAUAUUAAACAUGAGGACCGAACAUCCAAAUGACUGAGGUCAAAGGAGCACAUCCAAACUUUAGCAAAAUUCCAAUGAGUUUAUUUUGCCUUUUGGAAAUCUGUCUGUGACUUUGAUAACUGAGUGUGAGGUCAGCCUAAGUAUGAAGAGUCUGCAGUGAUUCUGUCUGGAGUGGUAGUUAGAGGUCAAGGAAGCCCCUCAAACUUCUAUUAAUGGAGUUCAAUGGGUUUUAGGAAUCAGCCCCGAGUGGACAAUGAUGGAACUGCAGUUUUUAGCAUUACGAAGUGGCUUCACUUCUCAAAGUUUGAGAUCUCAAGUCAAAAAAUGUCAUUAACUAUGAAAAAAAAUGUGAUUUAAAAAUCUAUGAACUUAUUCUCUAUUGUGUGACAAUGAUUCAGCCUCCAGAGAAAGUAGUCCAGCUCUGCUGCUGUUGCCUGGAUUGCAGGACAGCAUGUCAUUGCUGUCCAAGAAAAACAUGCUUCUCCAAAAUGUUUUUUUUUUUUUUUUAAGGGAACAUUAAAAAAGUUUUAUUCAUACACUGCCUAACAGAAUAGACCCAAAACACGAAAUCAAAAUCUAGCAAAACUUAUUAGUUAUCAUGUAAUUAACAGAUAACUUCAUGUUGUUACUAGGUAAUUACCUGUUAAUUAGAAACGGUUACUGAAAAUUGUUUAAACGUUGUAUCUUUCUUCGAACAAAUUCCUGCACUCUGUUCACUUUAUAAUCUAAUAGCAGUAAAUUUAAAUCUUAUAGACUCCAAACACACCAGCCUCUCUCUCUCUCUCUCUCUGUGUUCCAGCUUAUGUUUGUCAGUUUGCUGAUAAGAAACUUCACUUUCUGAACUUUGGAUCCCGUCUCUUGUCAUGAUUCUCCGACUAAAAACAUUUCCUUUUCUGCUGACCAAACCCAAACCAUCUGUCCAAGGAAAUUCCCAGCAUAUAUUUUGA
Molecule: long non-coding RNA, 7210 nt
Filed under: Xyrichtys novacula (pearly razorfish)
Lineage: Eukaryota; Metazoa; Chordata; Actinopteri; Labriformes; Labridae
Source: RNAcentral